Molecule: long non-coding RNA, 1208 nt
Organism: Limulus polyphemus (Atlantic horseshoe crab)
Lineage: Eukaryota; Metazoa; Arthropoda; Merostomata; Xiphosura; Limulidae
Exons: 4
Source: RefSeq, a predicted model, not a curated record
AGUGGUUUCCUCAGUUUUUCUAACGUGGCUAGCGCCCUUUCUUUCUCUUGAAUCAAGAUUUCAAUGAGGAGGAUUUUCUUCCAAAUGUUUAAGAAUGUUUGAAUGACAAAAAUGUCUUAGCACUAUGUCCUGCAGUGGAUUAUAUGAUCUGGAGAUCAACCAUUUGACCAAAAAAAACAUAGUAGGCCCUAAAGAAAAUAUUACAAGGAUAUUACCAAAAUAGAAAGCAACAUAGCCAGCUAAUCCAAGCAAUGGAAAUUUAGGAAGAAAGUAGACAGGCUCCCCAAUUUGAUAAUCAUGGAAAAACUACUACUAGUAUAUUAGCUUCAUCAUCUUUAGAGACUAACAUCUCCAUCAGACUACGACUCCCUCUGGGUGUUUCAGUUAUAAUUCUUUGCCAUCAUAAUUACAUCCAAUUAAAAUGCUAUGGUGAAGAAACUAAGGCACAGUAGUUAUUCACAUCAAUUGUUUGGUUUGUUGCAAAUCAAGAAGUGGAAAGGAUCUAUUCCAUGUUUUUACUUCGGGUUCCACUCCAGUGAUGGAUGUUUCAGCUUUGUUGCCAUGUAUGCACAAGAAGAAAUGCUUUUCCUUGGAGGUCUUGGAAGGAUUAAUAUUGUAAAAAUUUAAGGAUAUUUCAUAGUAAGAUUUAUAAAUUAUUUUAAACAUCGUUACAUCAAGAAACACUUGGUAAUUAAUUAUUGUAAACUAUUGUAUUUUCCUUAAGAUUAAAUGUAUUUUGAUUUAAAGAAAAACAUUCACUGUUACUUUAAUAUGUAGGGCAUUUUUCAUUUAAUUGCUGAUUGCAAAAAAAUUAAAGGUAUUCUUUUCAGGGAUUGCACAUAAAGGUCAAGGAUUCUUCUCAACAAACAUUCAUGAAACUUUAGGUAAAAAUUGUUUCAAAAUUCCUGGGAUCAAUGUUAGUGCAUUUGUUGAUUUCUUGCAGAAGAAUUGGAAGAUAUCAAACUAUUUCAUCUACAACCCUGUCGCAGAAGGUGCGCAUCCAUUAAGAACAUGUUUCACUAACCUGUAAAACUUAGAUCCCAAAAUUUAAUACACAUUUAGAACUUAAUUUUUAUAUCAAAAUUUUGUUUCUUUACAAAAAUUACAAUGAGGUCUUGUGUAAAACAGGUGUCUGAAGUUAGGUGGAAAGAAAAUUAGUAUUAUGAAAUUGUAAUACAAUUUAAUGUAAAUAAAACAAUUUCAUCAUA